RNAcentral lists this ribosomal RNA (588 nucleotides) under Haploporus odorus. RNAcentral's name for it is "partial small subunit ribosomal RNA". It matches the Rfam family "Bacterial small subunit ribosomal RNA", at positions 387 to 966 of the family's 1533-position model. The record is from RNAcentral. Lineage: Eukaryota; Fungi; Basidiomycota; Agaricomycetes; Polyporales; Polyporaceae.
GAGGGCAAAACCGUAAAAAGAACAAGCUACUGGAAUCAUAGAAUUUCUUUAAAUUCAUGAUGUCGUAAGGGAAAAUAAUGAUAAUACCUUACUAUGAGUGUUGUCCAAAGCUGGUGCCAGAAGACUCGGUAAGACCAGAAACGCAAACGUUAAUCAUCAUAAACAGGCGUAAAGGGUUUGUAGGCAGCUUUCAUCAGAUUAUAUUAAAAAUCCAAAAGUCUAAUUGAAAGCUAGAAUCAAAAAGAGGUUAUAGUGUAUAACGCCUAGAGGAGGGCUGAUAUCCAUAGAUCCUAGGCAGAAUACUAAGGGCGAAGGCCACUUUCCAUUAAUGAUUGACGCUGAGAAACGAAGGUUAGGGUAGGAAAUAGGAUUAGAUACCCCGGUACUCCUUUCUGUAAACGAUGAAUGGUAGUCAUUAGUUUAUCUCUUUUUUUUUAUAAAGAAUAAAAGACUAAAAUAACUAGAGACGAAGUUAACACAAUAACCAUUCCGCCUUGUGAGUACUACUGCAAAGUAGAAAACAAAAAAAUUAGUCGGUCUCGAAGCAAACGGAGUGAAGCAUGUUAUUUAAUUCGAUUUAAUCCGCCA